RNAcentral lists this long non-coding RNA (237 nucleotides) under Glycine max (soybean). Its description in RNAcentral is "long non-coding RNA (GMAX_LNC004756)". The record is from RNAcentral. Lineage: Eukaryota; Viridiplantae; Streptophyta; Magnoliopsida; Fabales; Fabaceae.
CCUAUAAUAGCUAAGCUCACCCCCAUGACAAAAAAAACAUGAAAAUACAAAAAAAAAAGUCCUUACUACAAAGACUACUCAAAAUGCCCCGAAAUACAAGGCUAAAACCCUAUACUAUUAGAAUGGCCAAAAUACAAGACCCAAACAAAGAAAAAACCUAUUCUAAUAUUUACAAAGAUAAGCGGGUCAUGCUUAGCCCAUGGGCUCGAAAUCUACCCUAAGGCUCAUGAGAACCUU